GUGGGGAAUAUUCCGCAAUGGACGAAAGUCUGACGGAGCAACGCCGCGUGAGUGAUGAAGGUUUUCGGACUGUAAAGCUCUGUUGUUUAGGACGAAAGUGCCUGUUGCGAACAGUUACAGGUAUUGACGGUACUAAACGAGGAAGCCACGGCUAACUACGUGCCAGCAGCCGCGGUAAUACGUAGGUGGCAAGCGUUGUCCGGAAUUAUUGGGCGUAAAGAGCAUGUAGGCGGAGAUUUAAGUCUGUUGUGAAAAUGCGGGGCUCAACCCCGUAUUGCGAUGGAAACUGAAGUUCUUGAGUGCAGGAGAGGAAAGGGGAAUUCCCAGUGUAGCGGUGAAAUGCGUAGAUAUUGGGAGGAACACCAGUGGCGAAGGCGCCUUUCUGGACUGUGUCUGACGCUGAGAUGCGAAAGCCAGGGUAGCGAACGGGAUUAGAAACCCGGGUAGUCC
Molecule: ribosomal RNA, 450 nt
Filed under: uncultured bacterium
Lineage: Bacteria
Description: partial 16S ribosomal RNA
Rfam family: Bacterial small subunit ribosomal RNA
Source: RNAcentral